Bartonella tamiae Th239 is the source of this 74-nucleotide transfer RNA. It matches the Rfam family "tRNA". Rfam says of the family: Transfer RNA (tRNA) molecules are approximately 80 nucleotides in length. Their secondary structure includes four short double-helical elements and three loops (D, anti-codon, and T loops). NCBI's taxonomy places the organism in Bacteria, Pseudomonadati, Pseudomonadota, Alphaproteobacteria, Hyphomicrobiales, Bartonellaceae. The record is from Rfam.
GGUCCCGUAGCUCAGCUGGAUAGAGCAACGGCCUUCUAAGCCGUAGGUCACAGGUUCGAAUCCUGUCGGGAUCG